This 253-nucleotide ribosomal RNA is filed under the name uncultured bacterium. RNAcentral describes it as "partial 16S ribosomal RNA". It matches the Rfam family "Bacterial small subunit ribosomal RNA", at positions 524 to 776 of the family's 1533-position model. The record is from RNAcentral.
UACAGAGGUGGCAAGCGUUGUUCGGAAUUACUGGGCGUAAAGGGCGCGUAGGCGGCCUUCUUAGUCAGACGUGAAAUCCCCGGGCUUAACUCGGGAACUGCGUCUGAUACUGGAAGGCUUGAAUCCGGGAGAGGGAUGCGGAAUUCCAGGUGUAGCGGUGAAAUGCGUAGAUAUCUGGAGGAACACCGGUGGCGAAGGCGGCAUCCUGGACCGGUAUUGACGCUGAGGCGCGAAAGCCAGGGGAGCAAACGGG